This is a long non-coding RNA of Salvelinus fontinalis (brook trout), 652 nucleotides long. RefSeq lists it as uncharacterized. The record is from RefSeq and is a predicted model, not a curated record. The transcript has 5 exons. Lineage: Eukaryota; Metazoa; Chordata; Actinopteri; Salmoniformes; Salmonidae.
GGAAACUCGGAAAUAACCGAGGUCAAAUCAUGAACUUGCCCUUCACACCUCUGGCCAUAGCCAAACCGAUUGUUUUCUAGGGCUCAUGGUUGCCAGGGGCCUUAUCACACAGUGGGGUCAGCCAAUCACAGCUUUGGUUCCAGAUCCCCAGAUUCUGCCUCUCUCAGUCUCCUUCAAGCAGACACAGAGAGACCAGCAAGCUCAUCUCUGACCUGCACAACAACAGCUGGACUCACUCAUAAUUCUUUGGACAUGUGGGAUGGUGUACUAGCACAAAGUUCUUCUUGUUCCCCACACAGCUGGGACCUGUGGACAGACUCUUCCAACCACAAAACAACCUGCUAAAGGCCUACUGAAUGGGUGGAUUCAAAAGGGAGGUCCUCCUCUACUUGUUAUGCUAUGUGAUCCCACAAUGCCUCAGCACAGGCCUUCACUCGCAGAGGGUGUCUUUUUCCUCUGGAGCUGACAUUCAAACUGAGCAGGGCCUGUGUCCUCCGAUUAAGGUCGGAGAGGAUAGUUUCCCAGGUUUUUAUAUCAUGUCCCAGUUUCACAUUGCUGAGCUGGCCAGAAGAGGAACAGUUCAAAAGGUGCCUGGAUCAACCUCUCAACAUGUUGCCUACAAAAUAGGGCCAGCAUUCAACUUCAGAAUUAA